UAAUCUUUUAUUGCCGGCUGGCUGUGUGGCAGGUUCCCAUAGACACCUACAGCCCUCAGCGAGGGGGCGGUGACCCCCGUGAUGACGUCACUCAGGCGCCUGCAGCAAUGGAAGGUCCCGCGCCGGGACAGGCAGGUGUGCGAUUUGGAACUGGAGGGAACCGCUCUGUCCGAGCCCGGCCGGGUACCCGGAGGGGAAGGACGGACUACGCUUCCCGACGCCCCGUGCGGCGGACGACCCCGGGCGAGUCCUCCCGCCGUGGCGCGGCCUUCGCGACAGCGGCCGCUCCUUCCUGCGGGACCGUCGUUCUUCCCGGCAGCUGGCCGCGCUUGCGGCGGUCGGUCGGUCGGUCUCUCUGCCAGGCCCCUCCCUGCGGCCCGAAGCCCUGGCUGGGGCGCAGCCGGUGACCCCAGUCACGGACGGUAGCAGGCCGCUCCCAAAUCUCAAGUCUAUACCCCUUGAGAGGGAAAAAACAAAACUCCUCCCCCUGGCCGCAAUUCCUGGGUAAAUUCGGGCCCUGAUCCUCGGCUUGGACCGAAGGUCUUCACCUUAUCCCCCGGCAGCAGAAUUCUCUUCUUAACGAUCCCAGCUCGUUGCCGUAUCACUGCCUGGCUCAGAAACUUCCCGCGGCUUCCCAACGUCCAAAUUCUUAGCAUUCGAUACGAGCAUUGUAUGUGCUACCUAGACACCCAGACUUCACCGGCUUUUUCCAAAAUGUUCUGUACGGACGCUGCGACGGGAAACGGCCCUCCCCAGAGAGCAGUCUGGUUCCUCUACAAAUACCGCACCCCUCCCCCUUCUUACACAAUCUGUGGCUGCCACUUGCUGUGGAGCAAGGGACCAGGGCUCCGGACCUGACAGCCAGAUUUCCUGUCGUUGACACCUAAGGCGGCCCAGUACCUGACGGAUCCAUUUACCCCUGAGCGGAAAACAAGACCAGGGUUUACGGGGAAAGGAGAUGAGCAGCAGCGCAGCGGGAAGCAGAUGUACCUCGGAAGACCGUCGUGUGACCCAUUAGAGAAAGGGGAGAGCAGACCAUGUCUGCGUCCUGGUGACUUUCCAUCUCUGGCUUCUGAUCCAGACAAACGUGUCUUAACAGUAACUUCCCUUUUAUUUAAAGUUUCCCAAAUGAGUGUUUUUUUUUCCCCCAGGUUAUUUGAGUGGAGGAGGCACCAGCUUACCCUCCAGCCUUAUCUCCCUCUACAUUGCCCUCCACACCCACAGCGCACCUGCUGUUGCUGGAACUCAGAACUCUCACUGCUGCCUUUCUGCUUUUGUCUUUCGGCCCGUUUCUUCCCCUUGCCUGGAACACCUUCCUCCCAGGUCUACUGGUUGUCAUCUACCAGCCACACCUGUCUCAUUGUUGUCAUGGAAAAAAGCCAGCAAACGUCUACACUACAGAAAGUCGCGAACAGUGAAUUUGGAACCACAUACCUGCCUUUAAAUUGUCAAGUGAGUGGCCUAUUUGAGCCGGUGUUUUCUUAUAAAGGAUUACCUGUCAUUUAGGGGAAAAGCAACCAGGACAGAUCCAAAUCCAUAGGAUCUAUGAAGCAGAGAGUACUUAGUAACAAGUUAUCGAUGGUAUCCAUUUCGGAAAACAAAUAUGUCUUUAGCUUACUUGUAGAAAACUAAUUUGUGGUCUCUUGGGUGUGGUUUUGUUUUUUUUUUUUUAAUCAUUUUUUCUUACCAAAUUUACAAGAAAAACAUUGCAUUUUUCCGUUCGAGCGUCCUCAGGCCUGGCGAGAUGUCUAGAUUCUGGCUUCUGAUGUGGGGGCUCCCUUGUACAUGUGGAGCCCAGUCCGUUGUUUAGAGGAACUGACUCAAAGGCUCAGUUCUUGCCUCACGGCCUCCCAGAUACUCAGUAACAUCUCCAAACUAAAGCUUUAGAACGUAACAUAAUUUGGAGGUUAGUUACACUGAUGACUUAAUUCAUUAAUGUCGUCUUCCCCUGAAAUGGUUAAUAGAUUUGGUCUAGAAGCCAAGGAGAUAUGAACUCAAAACGGAAAGAUACUUGUUCUUUGCAAGUUCCUAUGUUUUGCUUUACGAAGAGCUAUUCCUUCAUCUGAUGCGCUUCUGCAUAAUAAAAAUAAACCACAUUAUGUCUUUUAAAAUCCCUGGCUACGUUUCAUGGAGUGCUUUCCAGCUCUGACAGUUUAUAAUUCAGACAGCAUCUGAAGAAGUUAAUUUCUGGACCUGUGAUGUCAUGCUAACAAAUGGCCACGAGAUGUCAGUCUUUCCUUGUGUUUUUAGACACAAAUGGACUUUGGAACCACAUUUACGGUUCUAUUUGUGUGGCAUCCGCAGUGGAAGGCACUUUUCAGGGAGCAUCUGCCCCCUCACAGUCCAUCACGCAUGGUCCUAAGCUCCCUUUGCUCUGGUGUCACUGUCCUGGGUUACGGCAGUGACUUGUCCCCACGGGCCACUAUUCGGCCCUGGGCCCUCGCUUAGAGCCCAGCUCCCACCCUCGAAGUGAUGCAGAGUUGGGGGGAAACGCAGCCGCUUCCUGGAAGAUGGAGCUCGCUCAGAAAGCCGAAGAAUCCAUUUUUCAAGACAAGCAUCAUUGGGAGGAGAAUGCAGAACCCAUGUGAGUGUUGAUGAUGAAGCAUGACUUUAAAGGACUUUCACGGUUGUAUAAUCCUUUCCACGGGAGUUCAGGCUCACUCCCCUCGUGGGGUGUUCUGUGAACACCAGGCAGCAGUAAACCGCUUGUCCCGAGUCGCUUCUGGGGAUUUGCAGAGGGAGGUUGGGGUCUCGGGGGCAAGGGAGAGAGGCUUCCCUCAGGGAGGGCUGGUGGGCGGGGUGCGACCCACCCACCCCAAAGGAGAGGGAGGGAAGGAGGGAGGGGGCUGUGGGAUGGCCCACCCCAAGCCAGGCACGUGCCCUGGUGUCAUUCCAAGGGGACCCACUCCUGAGGCUGUGGGAGGUGGGGCGCGCGGGGGAAAAAAGGUGAGGGUUUUCUGCCCACUGGAUAUCGUGGGCCUGUUGGUGGAAGCCGCCCGGGACCCAGAGGGCGGCCCGAGGGAGGCAAGCUGCCUGGCAGGUGUUCUCGAUGCCACGGCCAAGGCAGAGUGGAAGCAGGCAGCCGGACGUCCAACGUGGCUCCUCCACCACCGUCAGAAGCACUGCCGCUGGGAAGGGUCCGCUUGGGCCCCCUCCUGGGUCUUGUACCAGCUGCAGACCAGGGCAGGGCAGCGGGUCAACAGCGUCAGGUUUUCCGAGGCAUUCGAGAACUCCCCGGCCCCCCGGCCCCUGGCCUGCAACUACCUUCUCCCGGUUGACUUUCAGCAGCAGGGGCCUGGCCCAGAAGACCCUCUGUGCUCCUCACUUGCCCCCCCAGGGGGCAGAGAGGAGCCCCAGGGCACUGAGGGGUAGGGAGCUCCCUCCUCCCAACCCCACCCCUCCCCUGCUACCCGCCCUGCGGUACUGGGACCCUUGAGCUGGGCCUGCUGGGCUCCCGCUGCUGGGGACCCGCAGACUCUGCCCAGAGGCUGCUCCGCAGUGGUGGGAGGAGGGAGAAGGGCCUGGGCCUCCCUUUUGGUACUGGCGGAUUCCAGGCCCUGUCAGUGUCUCUGCCUCGCUUUGCCCUGGGCCACAUCUGAGUCCUCCAAGAGUCCCUUCCCAGCCCCACAGGGCCCGUCCUCCCACGUCUGAACCUGAGCUCCAGGGGACGUCCUCCAGGCGUCCCUUCUUGCAGGUUCUGUCCUUUGCCUGAGGUCGCCUGCAGCCUGCGGGGUGGCAGGUGCCUCUGGCAGCACCGAGGUCCCCGUCCUGAAAGGAGGGGACUCCCCCUCCCAACAGCCUGCUUGUCCACGUCACACUCUGACCCUGAGCUGAGCAGCCUGUGAACCCAAGUCACCGCAGAACCAACCACGAGGGACCAUACCUUCUCCUCUGCCUGGAGAGCCCAGGCCCUGGCUGCAGCAGAGAAAAAGCCCGCCAGGCCUCCCCUAACCCUAACCCCUCUCCCUUCCCCACCCCGCCAGGCCUCCCCCUCCCCCAGCCUCCCUGGGGUAUCCCAGCACAGGCUGGAGCUCAGCCGGUGGGAGAAGUCAAGCCCAAGACAGGAGGUGAGCGGCCAGCAAGCUGUGCUGGGCUUCGUGUGGACGGAGACGCCUGCGAGGCCACGGGCCCAACACGGGGUCCAGGGUACCAGGGGCCCCAGACAGCCCGCGCCGUGGGGACCGGCGACAGAGAGCUCGGUCAGUGGAAUGGCUUCGCGGUGGCUCUGCCCAGGGUUGUUCUUGCUCACCUGCUGCACUUGUGCGGACCCUGCAGUCACUGCCCUCCCUGCUCUGCCCUCCGGGCCGUGCCUCAAAGGGGGCUCCAGGCACCUGGCUGCGAGGCCUGCACAGGACGCCCCUCUGGGCCGCCACUGAGGGGUGGUGCCGGGCGUCCCGGUGGCGGCUCCUCCCCUGGGAGUCUCCUUGGUGCUGCCGUGCAGGCCUGGUGGCUCGUCCCCUUGUCUUAUUUGGCUGUCCUCCCCGCUCGGCCCCCUCACCUCCCCACAUGGCCGAUCACCUGCGGGCCUGCUGGUGCCACGUCCCCGCCGUCCAGCUCCCCUCCACGGCCGCCACUACCAUCCGGGGACCGGCAGCCCCCGGACGGCCCGGGAGCCCCCCCCAGCCAGCUCCCGCCCUUCGCCACCAGCCGAGAUCGGUGUCCAGCUGUCCAUGAGGACGACACCGCCGACAGGAGAGAGGCAGACAGGCUCUGGAUCGAUGCACCGUCUCCCUCUCCACCAGAAACAGGAUUUGGACUCCUCCGUCGCCUCCUCCUCCUCCUCCACCGUCGCCAAGGCUCCCCGGGCUCCGGUCCGGGCCACGCUUCGUGCCACGUGACCCCACAGUCCUCCGGAUCUGGCCGGCCCUCUGCCUCACCCGGUCUCAGCCCAGACGUUACCUGCUCAGACCUUCCAGGCCCCUGUGCCCGCCCCCCCCCCCCCCCCCACGGCUCCUGCGUUUUCCUUCCCCACGGUAGCCCCGUUCUCCCAGGAGGAAGGUGAAUGUGAGAUGUGAAGGGGCCUCGCCGGGUCCACGCCGGGCCUCGUCCGCUGUCCUCCCUGGACCGGGGGCAGAGGGGCAGCCGCCUCCCCAGCCCCUCUCCGCCUCCCCCAGCUCUUUUCCGUCUUACACGCUUCCUGCAAAUGUACCUUAACAGGGGCCUCUUCCCUGCUCACCUCCAGGUGCCCUGAGACCAGACCCAGAGACCACGCUUCGUCCACCUUCUUUCUUCCCUUCCCCGGCACUCGGUCAUCACGCGGCAAACGUCGCCGGAUGACUGCGUGCGCCAGGCACACGGCGCCUCGGGGAGGGGAGGCCGGACGCGGCCCUGCCCUCGGGCCGCUGGCUCCCCGGCUUCCUGCGCAGCCCCUUUGUCUGCCUGGACCCUCCUCAGCGACUCGCUCCUUCCAGGCGCCCGCACCGCAGGCCCAGCCAGCUUCCGGCACCUUCCAGCGCCAAGACCUGCUACGCGAUUUGCGUGGCCCAGUGCAAGAUGAAAACGCCAGGCCCUGUGUUCACACGUACUGAGGCUUCGAAGGCACCGACAGCAAAGUGCCCUUCGUGAUUCCGGCCACACAGGAGCUCUCCUGCCCGCCCACGCUGGGUGUCUGUCCUCUCUCCUGGGGCCGUGGACAUAAGACCCGAGGGAGCCCUGGGACGCCUGCCGAGUGACCCCAAGAGGAGCCUGAGAAUGGAAUGUUCCUAAGAGGGAACGUUGGGGGAGAGGCGGCUUUGGGAGCAGCUGACCUCACAGGAUUUUUAGGCAGAUGGAGUGACCACGUGAGACCUGGGGGACAAUGGACUCGAUAUCAAGGGGGUCAGACCUAGAGGGUGGGGGACUCUGGAGGACAAUGCAGAGAUGAGCACAGAAGCCCAGAAGGCGGGGCCUGGCCAACGCCGGGUCAGGAGAGACUGUCACGAUGGGAGGCAGCUACUGUCACGGGGCUCUGGUCCCCACCACAGCACACCUGCCACCAGGCCUCCUCCGGGACGCCUCCUUGAGGAGGGCUCUCACUCCCAGAGAAAACGGACCUGCGCCAGAGAGCCGAGGCCUGGUGAAGGGGGCUCCGCUCCAAGGAGGUCCCCCAGGGCGUUUCCACAUCAGACGCCUGGAGUGAAGAAGCAGUCAUUCACCAAAGAGUUGUCGAAAGGAUCAAUGAGCACAUGAAUAUGUGGAUAUUCAUCUGAAUAAAAGUAUAACCUCGUGAGAUUAAACACCGGGAGCUCCGGCAGUCACACUCCUUGGUAUUUAAACAAAUGACUUGAAGACGUGUCUCCAUGAGAAAGCCUGCACACAUGUUUACAGCAACUUUAUUACAAAUUGUCAAGACUUGGAGGUAACCAAGAUGUCCCUCAGUAGGCGAGUGGAUAAACCGGGGUCCAUCCAGACAGUGGAAUAUUAUUCGGCACUAAAAAGAACUGAGCUGUUGAGCCGUGAAAAGACAGAGAGAGGAAUCUUAAAUGCAUAUUUUUAAUUUUUUUUUUAAGCUUAUUUAUUUAUUUUGAGAGAGAGAGGACAUGAUCGGGGAGGGGGCAGAGAGAGACGGAGACAGAGAAUCCCAAGCGGGCUCCGUGCUGUCAGCACAGAGCCUGACGUGGGGCUCGAACUUACGAAUUGUGAGAUUGUAAUCAACAACAGGACACUUAACCAGCUGAGCCGCCCGGGCACCCCAAAUGCGUAUUUUUCAAUGACGGAAGCCAAUCUGAAAAGGCUACAUGUUGCAGGACUCCCAACUCUGUGACCUUCUGGACAAGGCAAGACCGCGAAGACAGUAAAGGGAGAAGAUGGAAUUACUUCUCACUUGCAUGAAGAAUAAACAAAUCCGUCACGUUGGGCGGGAGCAUCGGGAGUCCUCACGGCGGUGCGGAAUCUUCGGUGCGUGAUGGUGUGUAGACCCUGAGUGGGCAAAGGGGUUCCUAGGGCACAUUUGGCACGUGGGCACUCCAAGUCCAUUGGACACUCUCGCAAAUGUGACUUCCCAGAGGUCCAAGGUUGAGGCGGUGUUUCUGUCAUUUUAUUCCAACUGCGUCACGCGGAAGUUAACUUCCAGGAAGCAGCCACCCACACCGGAGGCUGUCGCCCUGGCCCGUGGAGCCAGCAGGCAGGACAGAGAUGCUGGGUUUCUGCGGCUGCAGCCUGCUCUCUGGGCCCUCACUGCCUGCACCCAGAGGUGGCUUUCUAGUGCCCAGGAUGCAGCUAAGGGUGCAUGUUCCCGGGGACGUGGCUAAGGCUGCGCGUUCCUAAAGCAGGCUUCCCGCAGCGGCCUCCCCAGGCCUCACCUUCCUGCCCCGGGUAGGGGACGUAGCUCUACAGAAGGCCUUCCAGACUCAUUCUUGGAGCCUGGGGCACGGACCACUCCUCCCUUGGACACUGAUGGCAGCACACAAUUCUUUGCAGAAGAUCUCUUUCUGCUUAAAAUAGCUAGUGGGGCGCCUGGGUGGCUCAGUCGGUUGAGCGCCGGACUUCGGCUCAGGUCGUGAUCUCAUGGUUGGUGAGUUCGAGCCCUACGUUAAGCUCUGUGCUGACUGCUCAGCUCCUGGAGC
This is an RNA transcript of Felis catus (domestic cat), 7544 nucleotides long. It is a transcript of the gene named basic proline-rich protein-like, with no coding region annotated. The transcript has 5 exons. Lineage: Eukaryota; Metazoa; Chordata; Mammalia; Carnivora; Felidae. The record is from RefSeq and is a predicted model, not a curated record.